GACGAACGCUGGCGGCGUGCUUAACACAUGCAAGUCGAACGGUGAAGCGCCUUCCUUUUUGGUGGGUGUGGAUGAGUGGCGAACGGGUGAGUAACACGUGAGUAACCUGCCCCCUUCUUCUGGAUAACCGCAUGAAAGUGUGGCUAAUACGGGAUAUUCUGGGUCUGUCGCAUGAUGGGUCUGGGAAAGAUAUUGUUUCGGUGGGGGAUGGGCUCGCGGCCUAUCAGCUUGUUGGUGGGGUGAUGGCCUACCAAGGCGGUGACGGGUAGCCGGCCUGAGAGGGUGGACGGUCACACUGGGACUGAGACACGGCCCAGACUCAUAAGGGAGGCAGCAGUGGGGAAUAUGGCACAAUGGGCGCAAGCCUGAUGCAGCGACGCCGCGUGAGGGAUGGAGGCCUGCGGGUUGUGAACCUCUUUCGCCAGUGAAGCAGGCCUGCCUCGUUUGUGGGUGGGUUGACGGUAGCUGGAGAAGAAGCGCCGGCUAACUACGUG
Molecule: ribosomal RNA, 494 nt
Filed under: uncultured bacterium
Lineage: Bacteria
Description: partial 16S ribosomal RNA
Rfam family: Bacterial small subunit ribosomal RNA
Source: RNAcentral